RNAcentral lists this ribosomal RNA (253 nucleotides) under uncultured bacterium. RNAcentral's name for it is "partial 16S ribosomal RNA". It matches the Rfam family "Bacterial small subunit ribosomal RNA", at positions 524 to 776 of the family's 1533-position model. The record is from RNAcentral.
UACGUAGGGUGCGAGCGUUAAUCGGAAUUACUGGGCGUAAAGCGUGCGUAGGCGGUUGGCAAAGUCAGAUGUGAAAGCCCCGGGCUCAACCUGGGAAUUGCAUUUGAGACUGAAUAGCUAGGGUGCGGUAGAGGGAAGCGGAAUUUCCGGUGUAGCGGUGAAAUGCGUAGAUAUCGGAAGGAACAUCAGUGGCGAAAGCGGCUUCCUGGACCAGCACCGACGUUCAGGCACGAAAGCGUGGGGAGCAAACAGG